UACGUAGGGGGCAAGCGUUGUCCGGAAUCAUUGGGCGUAAAGAGCGUGUAGGCGGCUCGGUAAGUCCGCUGUGAAAGUCCAGGGCUCAACCCUGGAAUGCCGGUGGAAACUGUCGAGCUAGAGUCCGGAAGAGGCGAGUGGAAUUCCUGGUGUAGCGGUGAAAUGCGCAGAUAUCAGGAGGAACACCGAUGGCGAAGGCAGGUCUCUGGGCCACUACUGACGCUGAGAAGCGAAAGCAUGGGGAGCGAACAGG
Molecule: ribosomal RNA, 253 nt
Filed under: uncultured bacterium
Lineage: Bacteria
Description: partial 16S ribosomal RNA
Rfam family: Bacterial small subunit ribosomal RNA
Source: RNAcentral